This 504-nucleotide ribosomal RNA is filed under the name uncultured bacterium. RNAcentral describes it as "bacterial SSU rRNA". It matches the Rfam family "Bacterial small subunit ribosomal RNA", at positions 28 to 517 of the family's 1533-position model. The record is from RNAcentral.
GAUGAACGCUAGCUACAGGCUUAACACAUGCAAGUCGAGGGGAAACGAUAUUGGAAGCUUGCUUCUGAUAGGCGUCGACCGGCGCACGGGUGAGUAACGCGUAUCCAACCUGCCCAUCACUUGGGGAUAACCUUGCGAAAGUAAGACUAAUACCCAAUGACGUCUCUAGAAGACAUCUGAAAGAGAUUAAAGAUUUAUCGGUGAUGGAUGGGGAUGCGUCUGAUUAGCUUGUUGGCGGGGUAACGGCCCACCAAGGCGACGAUCAGUAGGGGUUCUGAGAGGAAGGUCCCCCACAUUGGAACUGAGACACGGUCCAAAACUCCUACGGGAGCAGCAGUGAGGAAUAUUGGUCAAUGGACGAGAGUCUGAACCAGCCAAGUAGCGUGCAGGAUGACGGCCCUAAUGGGUUGUAAAACUGCUUUUAUAAGGGAAUAAAGUGGGAGUCGUGACUCUUUUUGCAUGUACCUUAUGAAUAAGGACCGGCUAAUUCCGUGCCAGCAGCCG